UUGACUAUUAAGCCAUAAAUAAACAAAAUAACUCUUUGUUUUUUUUAAAAAAUACCUCAUCCUCUUCCAGUUCCUGCAACGCUUACACCGCCACGGACCACCGCGUUCCGCCUCUUCCUCCACCUCAACAGCCACCUCUCCCAUUUGUACAUUGACUUUUAGCCUUAAUUAGUCAAACUUCUCUGCACCAAACAUGGCGGCUUCUGCUUUCUCGGCUUACUCUUUGUUCAGUUCGAGAAUUAGCGAACCAUCAACCUUAAUCUCCUCGAAAUCACGCUCUACGUUUAGCUUCAAAAGACCUCCACCUAUGAAAAUCUCAUGCGAUUACUCUUGCUUGGAAGUUAAGGAUGUUCAUUAUCGACCUCCAGGGACACAGGUUAACCUUUUAAAUGGAGUUAGCUUUUCACUUCCAGAGAAAAGUUUUGGCUUAAUUUUUGGACAGAGUGGAAGUGGGAAAACUACUCUCUUGCAGCUACUUGCAGGGUUAAGCAAACCAACGUCAGGUUCUAUUUAUAUUCAGAGAUAUACAAAUGAUGGCAAACCAAAUCAGUCUCCAAAAUCAUUAGUUCCAGAAAGAAUUGGUAUCGUCUUCCAGUUCCCAGAGAGGUAUUUCGUGGCAGACAAUGUGCUUGAUGAAGUUACAUUUGGCUGGCCAAGGCAAAGGGUUGGGCUUCAAUUGAAGGAGCAUCUUGCAUUAAAUCUCCAAAGAGCUUUAAACUGGGUUGGAUUGAAUGGGAUUUCCUUGGAUAAAGAUCCUCAUUCAUUGAGUGGCGGCUACAAACGUCGACUUGCUCUUGCAAUUCAAUUAGCACAAGUCCCUGACUUACUGAUAUUGGACGAGCCUCUUGCUGGUCUUGGUAUGACCUUGCUUUUUCUACUCUGUUUUUGUUACAGAUUGGAAGGCGCGCGCUGAUGUUGUGAAGCUUUUGAAGCAUCUGAAGAAAGAAUUAACUAUACUUGUCGUCAGUCAUGAUCUCAAAGAGCUAGAAGAUUUAGUUGAUCGAUCUUGGAGGAUGGAAAUGGGUGGAGUUUUGAGGGAAGAGAGCCUACUGGUUUAGUUUAGGGCCUUGCCUGCUAAAUUGACACUUCUUUCUUUGAUGUUUGAUAUUUCAGAGUGAAUUCAAAUAUUGUUGUAGCUCAAUUAUGGACUCUUUUGAAGUGCUUUGAUUGUGGACCGGAAUAUUCUCAAGAAUUGGAAGGAGACUUAAAAGUGAUCGUAAACGCAUCUUCAGAGUAGGAAAACUACAAGAAACAAAGUGCACGACUUUAUUUUCACACACCGGAGGAUAAAAUGGAUUCUGCCAACUAGUCCUCUUCUUCUUCAAUUGAGUUCAUCACCGCUCAACUGCAAAUGCAUUACAACACAGUUGCUAUUAUAAAGCCAUAAGAUUGGCAUUCUUACUGCAAAGGAUGAAAGCUACCAAUAAGCAUUUGUUGCAGUUUCUUCACUACAGCUCCAACACCAAGUCUACGAUGACAGCAGCAGAUGAUGGGCAGACAUAUAUUAGAAAAAAACUAAAUACUCAUCUUGCAAAGCUCAAUUACGGUCUGUAUUGCUAUUGUUUAUAUGUUAAAUGAAUGUCUGAUAUAAGGUUUAGGAAUAUAUUUCUGAUUAUGUCAAAAUAUUGCCUAUUCAUUUGUAAGUUAUGAACGCUAAUUCUGAUAAUAGUUCAUUUAGUUUCUU
Durio zibethinus is the source of this 1684-nucleotide RNA transcript. It is a transcript of the gene named non-intrinsic ABC protein 14, with no coding region annotated. The record is from RefSeq and is a predicted model, not a curated record. NCBI's taxonomy places the organism in Eukaryota, Viridiplantae, Streptophyta, Magnoliopsida, Malvales, Malvaceae.